RNAcentral lists this ribosomal RNA (253 nucleotides) under uncultured bacterium. RNAcentral's name for it is "partial 16S ribosomal RNA". It matches the Rfam family "Bacterial small subunit ribosomal RNA", at positions 524 to 776 of the family's 1533-position model. The record is from RNAcentral.
UACAGAGGUCUCAAGCGUUGUUCGGAUUUACUGGGCGUAAAGGGCUCGUAGGCGGCUGACCAAGUCGAGUGUGAAAGCCCCGGGCUCAACCUGGGAGGUGCGCUCGAGACUGGUCUGCUUGAGUUCGGGAGAGGAGCGUGGAAUUCCCAGUGUAGAGGUGAAAUUCGUAGAUAUUGGGAAGAACACCGGUGGCGAAGGCGGCGCUCUGGACCGAGACUGACGCUGAGGCGCGAAAGCGUGGGGAGCAAACAGG